AGAGUUUGAUCCUGGCUCAGAACGAACGCNGGCGGCAUGCCUAACACAUGCAAGUCGAACGAGACCUUCGGGUCUAGUGGCGCACGGGUGCGUAACGCGUGGGAAUCUACCCUUGGGUUCGGAAUAACAGUUAGAAAUGACUGCUAAUACCGGAUGAUGACUUCGGUCCAAAGAUUUAUCGCCAAAGGAUGAGCCCGCGUAAGAUUAGCUAGUUGGUGAGGUAAAGGCUCACCAAGGCUACGAUCUUUAGCUGGUCUGAGAGGAUGAUCAGCCACACUGGGACUGAGACACGGCCCAGACUCCUACGGGAGGCAGCAGUGGGGAAUAUUGGACAAUGGGCGAAAGCCUGAUCCAGCAAUGCCGCGUGAGUGACGAAGGCCUUAGGGUUGUAAAGCUCUUUUACCCGGGAUGAUAAUGACAGUACCGGGAGAAUAAGCUCCGGCUAACUCCGUGCCAGCAGCCGCGGUAAUACGGAGGGAGCUAGCGUUGUUCGGAAUUACUGGGCGUAAAGCGCACGUAGGCGGCUUUGUAAGUUAGAGGUGAAAGCCCGGGGCUCAACUCCGGAACUGCCUUUAAGACUGCAUCGCUUGAAUCCAGGAGAGGUGAGUGGAAUUCCGAGUGUAGAGGUGAAAUUCGUAGAUAUUCGGAAGAACACCAGUGGCGAAGGCNGCUCACUGGACUGGUAUUGACGC
RNAcentral lists this ribosomal RNA (692 nucleotides) under uncultured bacterium. RNAcentral's name for it is "bacterial SSU rRNA". It matches the Rfam family "Bacterial small subunit ribosomal RNA", at positions 8 to 746 of the family's 1533-position model. The record is from RNAcentral.